GGCGUAAGCGCGCGCAGGCGGUUCUUUAAGUCUGAUGUGAAAGCCCCCGCCUUUACCGGGGAGGGUCAUUGAAAACUGAUGAACUUGAUUGCCCUUAAGAGAAGUGGAAUUCCCCGUGUAGCGGUGAAAUGCGUAAAAAUGGGAAGGAACACCAUGGGCAAAGGCAACCCCUUGGACUGUAACUGACCCUGAGGCGCGAAAGCGUGGGGAGCAAACAGGAUUAAAUACCCGGGUAUUCCACGCCGUAAACAAUG
RNAcentral lists this ribosomal RNA (254 nucleotides) under Cytobacillus firmus. Its description in RNAcentral is "Bacillus firmus partial 16S ribosomal RNA". It matches the Rfam family "Bacterial small subunit ribosomal RNA", at positions 557 to 811 of the family's 1533-position model. The record is from RNAcentral. Lineage: Bacteria; Bacillati; Bacillota; Bacilli; Caryophanales; Bacillaceae.